This 724-nucleotide ribosomal RNA is filed under the name uncultured Pseudomonadota bacterium. RNAcentral describes it as "bacterial SSU rRNA". It matches the Rfam family "Bacterial small subunit ribosomal RNA", at positions 69 to 792 of the family's 1533-position model. The record is from RNAcentral. Lineage: Bacteria; Pseudomonadati; Pseudomonadota.
GGGCGCUUGCACCCAGGCGUCGAGCGGCGGACGGGUGAGUAACGCAUAGGAAUCUACCCGGUAGUGGGGGAUAACCUGGGGAAACCCAGGCUAAUACCGCAUACGUCCUACGGGAGAAAGCAGGGGCUCUUCGGACCUUGCGCUAUCGGAUGAGCCUAUGUCGGAUUAGCUGGUCGGUGAGGUAACGGCUCACCAAGGCGACGAUCCGUAGCUGGUCUGAGAGGAUGAUCAGCCACAUCGGGACUGAGACACGGCCCGAACUCCUACGGGAGGCAGCAGUGGGGAAUAUUGGACAAUGGGCGCAAGCCUGAUCCAGCCAUGCCGCGUGUGUGAAGAAGGCCUUCGGGUUGUAAAGCACUUUCAGUGGGGAAGAAAUCCUCGGGGCCAAUACCCCCGAGGGAGGACAUCACCCACAGAAGAAGCACCGGCUAACUCCGUGCCAGCAGCCGCGGUAAUACGGAGGGUGCGAGCGUUAAUCGGAAUUACUGGGCGUAAAGCGCGCGUAGGCGGCGUGAUAAGCCGGUUGUGAAAGCCCCGGGCUCAACCUGGGAACGGCAUCCGGAACUGUCAGGCUAGAGUGCAGGAGAGGAAGGUAGAAUUCCCGGUGUAGCGGUGAAAUGCGUAGAGAUCGGGAGGAAUACCAGUGGCGAAGGCGGCCUUCUGGACUGACACUGACGCUGAGGUGCGAAAGCGUGGGUAGCAAACAGGAUCAGAUACCCUGGUA